Non-coding RNA from Canis lupus familiaris (dog), 128 nucleotides. The record is from Rfam. Lineage: Eukaryota; Metazoa; Chordata; Mammalia; Carnivora; Canidae.
AUACUUACCUGGCAGGGGAGAUACCAUGAUCACGAAGGUUGUUUUCCGAGGAUGAGGCUUAUCCAUUGCACUGAGGAUGUGCUGACCCCUGCGAUUUCCCCAAAUGUGGGAUACUCGACUGCAUUAAA